This 303-nucleotide ribosomal RNA is filed under the name uncultured bacterium. RNAcentral describes it as "partial 16S ribosomal RNA". It matches the Rfam family "Bacterial small subunit ribosomal RNA", at positions 507 to 809 of the family's 1533-position model. The record is from RNAcentral.
AGCAGUAGCCGCGGGAAUACGUAGGUGGCGAGCGUUGUCCGGAAUUAUUGGGCGUAAAGGGAGCGCAGGCGGACAUAUAAGUCCAUCUUAAAAGUGCGGGGCUCAGCCCCGUGAGGGGAUGGAAACUGUAUGCCUUGAGUGCAGGAGAGGAAAGCGGAAUUCCCAGUGUAGCGGUGAAAUGCGUAGAUAUUGGGAGGAACACCAGUGACGAAGGCGGCUUUCUGGACUGUAACUGACGCUGAGGCUCGAAAGCCAGGGGAGCGAACGGGAUUAGAUACCCCCGUAGUCCCUGUCUCUUAUACA